CUUAGCCACAGCCAGAAGCUGCCCUUCUCAGCCUCCUUGGCCGGCAUCGCUUCCUAACCCUCCAGCAUCCUUCAAUAGAUGCCAAGUAGAUGUUCCCAUGAAGGCUCACCAACCCACCUCCACUAGGAUCUCGGCCAGCUUGCACCAGUCGUACUGCCCUUGAGCUCAGGCGAUCUACAACAUAACAUGCUGCAGACUGGCUCUUGCAGCACCAGAGAGGGAUUUCCUCGUCAUCGGCAUACCACCGGGAAAGGAUGUCAGGGCUUGGGCGAGUAUCACAGGCCCGAAAAUGAUCCAGAGCUGUGCUAUAAACGGAAAAUGAUGUGGCCCCCACAGGCCCUAGCAAGCCUCGACCCGCUCAUGGAUCUCAUCGGCAAGAUAAGUGGAGGACAGAUAACGUUGGCUGGCUCCACCCCCUUUUGUCAUUUUUGGGAUGGGGGCGGGGGUGAGAGCAGGGCAGGAUGUCAGAGCGCGUGUGACCGAGGGAACAUCGCGAAGAACAUUACGGGAUUUAAUAAGUGGCAUGUGGGUGGUCUUACAGGUCACGCUGUCUAUUAGUUUGAAGUGGGCAACGCCCGUUUUGCCACGUACUUCAGCAGCUCAGCCCCAGAGCAGACGGGCCCGUUGUAAUGAUUCAUUCAUCACCACACAAACAUGCCCCCCACGACACGCAGCACGGUGCUGGGAAACCUCUCGCCUCCGAUACCUCGCUGUCCCAGCCACACCAGGUGACAGUUAAUAUUCUCCUCAUCCCCUGCAGUCCAAGACCUGGAUUCUGAACACCUUCAAUAUCAUCCUCGCAGGAAAAAAUGAGCUAUAAAUAUUUUAAAUAGGCUAUAUAAUAAAAUCUAAUUUCCAAAAUUACCCUGGGUACCUUGACAAAUUAUUCCUUUAUACUGGUACGCGUGCACUGAAUUAUAUUUUAGCUAAAUGUAAAAUGGUUUAGCUGUAUUUAUACGUGACAUCUGAUAUAAAAUGUAACAAUUUUUAUGAAUGGAUUAUCCGCUUAGUUGGUCUUGUGGUUACAGUUACUAUAGGCGACACUGUAGUCAGGGAAGGGCUACGGGUAUUUAGCUAACUUCAUACCUGAUUAAUAGCGUGUUUCCGUUUCCCCACCCCCUCAAGGACUCCCCAGUGACCAUCUGGCUUCCUGGUCCCGCCUCACUGGCUGAAGCCCCCCCCCCUACCACACCUGCUCUACCAUGACCCAGCAGGUUUCCACGACAACCUUAUAAACACAGCAGAUCCGGAAUGUAAUAAUCCCGCAGGAUGCGAUCACUGAGGCAAAUAAGCUUGGCCGUGACGCUUUGCCUCUCCCACAGCCUUAGUCUUUGGUUUCCUUCAUUAAGGCUGAGUUUCAGUGAAUCUUCAGUGAUGGCCAUUAUUAAAUACCUGCAAGUUCACUGUGCCCUUUUCUCCGAAGCCCCUGUGGCCAGCCUCCCUGCCCUCUCAGGGGUCCCUCUGAUUCCGAUCCCCCAGGGCGUCCCUCCUUCCCGGCUGGGAAGCUGUUUUUCCACGUUGCUGCAGCCUGGGUUUCUCCGGUAGUUUCUCAGCCGCUGAAUCACAGGGAUUCCCUCUCAAAUAAGCGUGACGAUCCACUCCGAAGAAACAUCUAAUCACUACUGGAACUGUAGCAUAUAACUGUGGUCAACAUUUGUACCAUUUAUAAUUAUAAUUUGUUUGUAAUUUUACUGGUAUUUGUACAGCCUUUAUGGGUUUUUUUAAUUUUAGAUUCAUUUCUGGUCAGUAGUUCUGCAUCACUAUUUAAUUUCCCACUUGGACUUGUGAUGUUUGUAUUCGUCUGGUUACUCAUCCAUUAAUCCAUCCAUCCAUCCAUCCAUCUUGUAACUGCUUAUCCUGUAUAGGAUCAUAGGGGACACAAGGCCGGUGAACAGCCUGCAUAGGAUGGCAGUGGCCCUGAUCAUCCAUCCACCCAUCCAGCCAUCAAUCCAUGAAUUUCCUAAGCUCUUCAUCAGUACAGGAUUAUUAAUCAUACUUUGCCUCCAAUCAUUUUAUACCAAUGACCAGAGUGAUUUUUAAUCAGCUUACCACAGUCACAAUUCUCUGCUUUGCAAUUCAAUAUAAAAUAGAACAAAAUUGAUUCAUUUAAUUGAAAUGGUCAGUAUAACCAGGGACGGAUUAUGGGUUGUGUGGGCCCCUGGGCAAAACGUUUGCGAGGGCCCCCAGCACCACCACCAC
This is a non-coding RNA of Paramormyrops kingsleyae, 2199 nucleotides long. The record is from RefSeq and is a predicted model, not a curated record. Lineage: Eukaryota; Metazoa; Chordata; Actinopteri; Osteoglossiformes; Mormyridae.